GGCUUGCUCGGGCAGCGCCGGAGUGAGGCGUUCUGGCUUGAGGGCCUCAUACUGUCAGCUCCAUGCGGAUGAAGGCAUAUCUGCUCAUCAUGGUUUUCCCACUGCCUGGUGCUGGCUGAUACAGCAAGUACUUAAAUAUGUAUUCAAUGAGUACAGUUGGAAGACAAGUUUAAAUCCUGGAUUGGGCA
Molecule: long non-coding RNA, 188 nt
Organism: Sapajus apella (tufted capuchin)
Lineage: Eukaryota; Metazoa; Chordata; Mammalia; Primates; Cebidae
Exons: 2
Source: RefSeq, a predicted model, not a curated record